RNAcentral lists this ribosomal RNA (801 nucleotides) under uncultured Rubrobacter sp. RNAcentral's name for it is "bacterial SSU rRNA". It matches the Rfam family "Bacterial small subunit ribosomal RNA", at positions 8 to 796 of the family's 1533-position model. Lineage: Bacteria; Bacillati; Actinomycetota; Rubrobacteria; Rubrobacterales; Rubrobacteraceae. The record is from RNAcentral.
AGAGUUUGAUCCUGGCUCAGGACGAACGCUGACGGUGUGCUUUAGGCAUGCAAGUCGAACGAGAAAGCCCUUCGGGGUGAGUAAAGUGGCGAACGGGUGAGUAACACGUGGGCAACCUGCCCCUCGCAGGGGGACAACCGGAGGAAACUCCGGCUAAUACCCCGUAAGCUCUACACGCCGCAUGGCGAGUAGAGGAAAGGUAGCUUCGGCCAUCCGGCGAGGGAUGGGCCCGCGGUGCAUUAGCUAGUUGGUGGGGUAACGGCCCACCAAGGCGACGAUGCGUAGCUGGUCUGAGAGGAUGAUCAGCCACACUGGGACUGAGACACGGCCCAGACUCCUACGGGAGGCAGCAGUCGGGAAUCUUGCGCAAUGGGCGAAAGCCUGACGCAGCAACACCGUGUGGGCGAUGAAGGCCUUCGGGUCGUAAAGCCCUGUUGUUGGGGACGAAGGGCGAAGGGUUAAUAGCCCCUAGCCUGACGGUACCCUUCGAGGAAGCCCCGGCUAACUACGUGCCAGCAGCCGCGGUAAUACGUAGGGGGCGAGCGUUGUCCGGAAUUAUUGGGCGUAAAGAGCGUGUAGGCGGUUUGGUAAGUCUGCCGUGAAAACCCGGGGCUCAACCCCGGGCGUGCGGUGGAUACUGCCAGGCUAGAGGAUGGUAGAGGCGAGUGGAAUUCCCGGUGUAGCGGUGAAAUGCGCAGAUAUCGGGAGGAACACCAGUAGCGAAGGCGGCUCGCUGGGCCAUUCCUGACGCUGAGACGCGAAAGCUAGGGGAGCGAACAGGAUUAGAUACCCCCGUAGUCC